UAGGCGGCCCGUUAAGUCAGAUGUGAAAGCCCCGGGCUCAACCUGGGAACUGCAUCUGAUACUGGCGAGCUUGAGUGCAGUAGAGGGAGGUGGAAUUUCCGGUGUAGCGGUGAAAUGCGUAGAGAUCGGAAGGAACACCAGUGGCGAAGGCGGCCUCCUGGACUGACACUGACGCUGAGGCGCGAAAGCGUGGGUAGCAAACAGGAUUAGAUACCCUGGUAGUCCACGCCGUAAACGAUGUCAACUAGUCGUCGGGUUCCUCUGUGAACUUGGUGACGCAGCUAACGCGCUAAGUUGACCGCCUGGGGAGUACGGCCGCAAAGUUAAAACUCAAAUGAAUUGACGGGGGCCCGCACAAGCGGUGGAGCAUGUGGUUUAAUUCGAUGCAACGCGAAGAACCUUACCAGGCCUUGACAUCCUGCGAACUUUCCAGAGAUGGAUUGGUGCCUUCGGGAGCGCAGUGACAGGUGCUGCAUGGCCGUCGUCAGCUCGUGUCGUGAGAUGUUGGGUUAAGUCCCGUAACGAGCGCAACACCUUGUCCCUAUGUUGCCAACGAAUCGGUUGGGAAAUUUAGGGAGACUGCCGGUGACAAACCGGAGGAAGGUGGGGAUGACGUCAGGUCAUCAUGGCCCUUACGGCCUGGGCUACACACGUGCUACAAUGGCCGGUACAGAGGGCAGCGAAGUCGCGAGGCGGAGCAAAUCUCUCAAAACCGGUCGUAGUCCGGAUUGGAGUCUGCAACUCGACUCCAUGAAGUCGGAAUCGCUAGUAAUCGCGGAUCAGAAU
RNAcentral lists this ribosomal RNA (786 nucleotides) under uncultured bacterium. RNAcentral describes it as "bacterial SSU rRNA". It matches the Rfam family "Bacterial small subunit ribosomal RNA", at positions 572 to 1355 of the family's 1533-position model. The record is from RNAcentral.